GACGAACGCUGGCGGCGUGCCUAAUACAUGCAAGUAGAACGCUGAAGGAGGAGCUUGCUUCUCUGGAUGAGUUGCGAACGGGUGAGUAACGCGUAGGUAACCUGCCUGGUAGCGGGGGAUAACUAUUGGAAACGAUAGCUAAUACCGCAUAAUAGUAGAUGUUGCAUGACAUUUGCUUAAAAGGUGCAAUUGCAUCACUACCAGAUGGACCUGCGUUGUAUUAGCUAGUUGGUGAGGUAACGGCUCACCAAGGCGACGAUACAUAGCCGACCUGAGAGGGUGAUCGGCCACACUGGGACUGAGACACGGCCCAGACUCCUACGGGAGGCAGCAGUAGGGAAUCUUCGGCAAUGGACGGAAGUCUGACCGAGCAACGCCGCGUGAGUGCAGAAGGUUUUCGGAUCGUAAAGCUCUGUUGUAAGAGAAGAACGAGUGUGAGGGUGGAAAGUUCACACUGUGACGGUAUCUUACCAGAAAGGGACGGCUAACUACGUG
This 495-nucleotide ribosomal RNA is filed under the name uncultured bacterium. RNAcentral describes it as "partial 16S ribosomal RNA". It matches the Rfam family "Bacterial small subunit ribosomal RNA", at positions 28 to 507 of the family's 1533-position model. The record is from RNAcentral.